RNAcentral lists this ribosomal RNA (751 nucleotides) under uncultured bacterium. RNAcentral's name for it is "bacterial SSU rRNA". It matches the Rfam family "Bacterial small subunit ribosomal RNA", at positions 8 to 796 of the family's 1533-position model. The record is from RNAcentral.
AGAGUUUGAUCAUGGCUCAGGAUGAACGCUGGCGGCGUGCCUAAUACAUGCAAGUCGAGCGGUAAGGCCCCUUCGGACACGAGCGGCGGACGGCUGAGUAACGCGUAGGAAUGUACCCCAAAGUGAGGGGAUAAGCACCAGAAAUGGUGUCUAAUACCGCAUGUGAUCCACGGAUUAAAGCUUUAUGCGCUUUGGGAACAGCCUGCGUUCGAUUAGCUAGUUGGUAGUGUAAUAGACUACCAAGGCGAUGAUCGAUAGCUGGUCUGAGAGGAUGAUCAGCCAGACUGGGACUGAGACACGGCCCAGACUCCUACGGGAGGCAGCAGUAGGGAAUUUUCCACAAUGGGGGCAACCCUGAUGGAGCAACGCCGCGUGCAGGAUGAAUGCCUUCGGGUUGUAAACUGCUUUUAUUAGUGACGAUUAUGACGGUAACUAAUGAAUAAGGACCUGCUAACUACGUGCCAGCAGCCGCGGUCAUACGUAGGGUCCAAGCGUUAUCCGGAAUUACUGGGCGUAAAGAGUUGCGUAGGUGGCAUAGUAAGUAGAUAGUGAAAGCGUGUGGCUCAACCAUACAUCCAUUAUCUAAACUGCUAAGCUUGAGGAUGAGAGAGGUAGAUGGAAUUCCUAAUGUAGGGGUAAUAUCCGUAGAUAUUAGGAGGAACACCGAUGGCGUAAGCAGUCUACUGGCUCAUUCCUGACACUAAGGCACGAAAGCGUGGGGAGCAAACGGGAUUAGAUACCCUAGUAGUCC